Jatropha curcas is the source of this 258-nucleotide non-coding RNA. NCBI's taxonomy places the organism in Eukaryota, Viridiplantae, Streptophyta, Magnoliopsida, Malpighiales, Euphorbiaceae. The record is from RefSeq and is a predicted model, not a curated record.
GGCGAGGCUCCGGCGAGGAAGGACUUCAAAGGCAGAAUGUUCUCCUCUUUGCGCGGAUCACGGAAAUCAAAUCCGAUUUUCGAUCGGUAAUAGAAAGAAAGAAAAGCCCUAUGAAGUUGAGACACUUAUUGUAGAAGACGGUUAAUGAUAGAAAUAACGAUAUAAAUAUAAAGGUAGAGUUCCGCAAUUGUAUUCCAGUUGGGUUGUAAAUAAAUAAUAAAAGUCCAUAUUAAACAUAUGAACUGUAUUUUAGAUGCA